RNAcentral lists this ribosomal RNA (252 nucleotides) under uncultured bacterium. Its description in RNAcentral is "partial 16S ribosomal RNA". It matches the Rfam family "Bacterial small subunit ribosomal RNA", at positions 524 to 776 of the family's 1533-position model. The record is from RNAcentral.
UACGGAGGAUGCGAGCGUUAUCCGGAUUUAUUGGGUUUAAAGGGUGAGUAGGCGGGCUUUUAAGUCAGCGGUAAAAAUUCGGGGCUCAACCCCGUCCGGCCGUUGAAACUGGGGGCCUUGAGUGGGCGAGAAGAAGGCGGAAUGCGUGGUGUAGCGGUGAAAUGCAUAGAUAUCACGCAGAACCCCGAUUGCGAAGGCAGCCUUCCGGCGCCCUACUGACGCUGAGGCACGAAAGUGCGGGGAUCGAACAGG